RNAcentral lists this ribosomal RNA (508 nucleotides) under uncultured bacterium. Its description in RNAcentral is "partial 16S ribosomal RNA". It matches the Rfam family "Bacterial small subunit ribosomal RNA", at positions 899 to 1397 of the family's 1533-position model. The record is from RNAcentral.
ACUCAAAUGAAUAGACGGGGGCCUGCACAAGCGGUGGAGUAUGUGGCUUAAUUCGAUGCAACGCGAAGAACCUUACCUGGCCUUGACAUGCAUCUGGUAGGACCGUGAAAGCGGAACGACCCCGCAAGGGGAGGAUGCACAGGUGCUGCAUGGCUGUCGUCAGCUCGUGUCGUGAGAUGUUGGGUUAAGUCCCGCAACGAGCGCAACCCUUAUGUUCUGUUGCCACCCGGACGAGAGUCUGGAGCACUCUGGACAGACUGCCUCGCUUAAACGAGGAGGAAGGUGGGGAUGACGUCAAGUCAGUAUGGCCCUUACGGCCAGGGCUGCACACGUACUACAAUGCCCGGCACAAAGGGAAGCAAGACCGCAAGGUGGAGCAAAUCCCAGAAAACCGGGCCCAGUUCAGAUUGCCGUCUGCAACUCGACGGCAUGAAGCCGGAAUCGCUAGUAAUGGCGCAUCAGCUACGGCGCCGUGAAUACGUUCCCAGGCCUUGUACACACCGCCCGU